AUUUAUGAGAGUUUGAUCCUGGCUCAGGACGAACGCUGGCGGCGUGCCUAAUACAUGCAAGUCGAACGCUUCUUUUCCCACCGGAGCUUGCUCCACCGGGAAAAGAGGAGUGGCGAACGGGUGAGUAACACGUGGGUAACCUGCCCAUCAGAAGGGGAUAACACUUGGAAACAGGUGCUAAUACCGUAUAACAAUCGAAACCGCAUGGUUUCGUUUUGAAAGGCGCUUUACGGUGCCGCUGAUGGAUGGACCCGCGGUGCAUUAGCUAGUUGGUGAGGUAACGGCUCACCAAGGCCACGAUGCAUAGCCGACCUGAGAGGGUGAUCGGCCACAUUGGGACUGAGACACGGCCCAAACUCCUACGGGAGGCAGCAGUAGGGAAUCUUCGGCAAUGGACGAAAGUCUGACCGAGCAACGCCGCGUGAGUGAAGAAGGUUUUCGGAUCGUAAAACUCUGUUGUUAGAGAAGAACAAGGGUGAGAGUAACUGUUCACCCCUUGACGGUAUCUAACCAGAAAGCCACGGCUAACUACGUGCCAGCAGCCGCGGUAAUACGUAGGUGGCAAGCGUUGUCCGGAUUUAUUGGGCGUAAAGCGAGCGCAGGCGGUUUCUUAAGUCUGAUGUGAAAGCCCCCGGCUCAACCGGGGAGGGUCAUUGGAAACUGGGAGACUUGAGUGCAGAAGAGGAGAGUGGAAUUCCAUGUGUAGCGGUGAAAUGCGUAGAUAUAUGGAGGAACACCAGUGGCGAAGGCGGCUCUCUGGUCUGUAACUGACGCUGAGGCUCGAAAGCGUGGGGAGCAAACAGGAUUAGAUACCCUGGUAGUCCACGCCGUAAACGAUGAGUGCUAAGUGUUGGAGGGUUUCCGCCCUUCAGUGCUGCAGCUAACGCAUUAAGCACUCCGCCUGGGGAGUACGACCGCAAGGUUGAAACUCAAAGGAAUUGACGGGGGCCCGCACAAGCGGUGGAGCAUGUGGUUUAAUUCGAAGCAACGCGAAGAACCUUACCAGGUCUUGACAUCCUUUGACCACUCUAGAGAUAGAGCUUCCCCUUCGGGGGCAAAGUGACAGGUGGUGCAUGGUUGUCGUCAGCUCGUGUCGUGAGAUGUUGGGUUAAGUCCCGCAACGAGCGCAACCCUUAUUGUUAGUUGCCAUCAUUUAGUUGGGCACUCUAGCAAGACUGCCGGUGACAAACCGGAGGAAGGUGGGGAUGACGUCAAAUCAUCAUGCCCCUUAUGACCUGGGCUACACACGUGCUACAAUGGGAAGUACAACGAGUCGCGAAGUCGCGAGGCUAAGCUAAUCUCUUAAAGCUUCUCUCAGUUCGGAUUGUAGGCUGCAACUCGCCUACAUGAAGCCGGAAUCGCUAGUAAUCGCGGAUCAGCACGCCGCGGUGAAUACGUUCCCGGGCCUUGUACACACCGCCCGUCACACCACGAGAGUUUGUAACACCCGAAGUCGGUGAGGUAACCUUUUUGGAGCCAGCCGCCUAAGGUGGGAUAGAUGAUUGGGGUGAAGUCGUAACAAGGUAGCCGUAUCGGAAGGUGCGGCUGGAUCACCUCCUUUCUAAGGAA
This 1569-nucleotide ribosomal RNA is filed under the name Enterococcus mundtii. Its description in RNAcentral is "bacterial SSU rRNA". It matches the Rfam family "Bacterial small subunit ribosomal RNA". Lineage: Bacteria; Bacillati; Bacillota; Bacilli; Lactobacillales; Enterococcaceae. The record is from RNAcentral.